CUGAACAUUGACCCUACAUGUGUAGGAUAGGUGGGAGGCUUUGAAGCACGUACGCCAGUAUGUGUGGAGCCGUCCUUGAAAUACCACCCUUGUAGUGUUGAUGUUCUAACGUCGACCCCUUAUCGGGGUUGCGGACAGUGCCUGGUGGGUAGUUUGACUGGGGCGGUCUCCUCCCAAAGAGUAACGGAGGAGCACGAAGGUGGGCUAAUCACGGUUGGACAUCGUGAGGUUAGUGCAAUGGCAUAAGCCCGCUUGACUGCGAGAAUGACAAUUCGAGCAGGUGCGAAAGCAGGUCAUAGUGAUCCGGUGGUUCUGAAUGGAAGGGCCAUCGCUCAACGGAUAAAAGGUACUCCGGGGAUAACAGGCUGAUACCGCCCAAGAGUUCAUAUCGACGGCGGUGUUUGGCACCUCGAUGUCGGCUCAUCACAUCCUGGGGCUGAAGUCGGUCCCAAGGGUAUGGCUGUUCGCCAUUUAAAGUGGUACGCGAGCUGGGUUUAGAACGUCGUGAGACAGUUCGGUCCCUAUCUGCCGUGGGCGUUGGAAGAUUGAAGGGGGCUGCUCCUAGUACGAGAGGACCGGAGUGGACGAACCUCUGGUGUUCGGGUUGUGUCGCCAGACGCAUUGCCCGGUAGCUAAGUUCGGAAUCGAUAACCGCUGAAAGCAUCUAAGCGGGAAGCGAGCCCUGAGAUGAGUCUUCCCUGAUACUUUAAGUAUCCUAAAGGGUUGUCGGAGACUACGACGUUGAUAGGUCAGGUGUGUAAGUGCUGUGAGGCAUUGAGCUAACUGAUACUAAUUGCCCGUGAGGCUUAACCAUACAACACCCAAGGGGUUU
RNAcentral lists this ribosomal RNA (832 nucleotides) under Vibrio parahaemolyticus. RNAcentral describes it as "partial 23S ribosomal RNA". It matches the Rfam family "Bacterial large subunit ribosomal RNA", at positions 2117 to 2925 of the family's 2925-position model. The record is from RNAcentral. Lineage: Bacteria; Pseudomonadati; Pseudomonadota; Gammaproteobacteria; Vibrionales; Vibrionaceae.